GUACGCGUGCGGCAGCCUUACACGUUACAGUGAGCGGAGAGAGGUAGCUUGCUACUGAUCUUAGCGGCGGUGAGUAAUGCUUAGGAAUCUGCCUAUUAGUGGGGGACAACAUUUCGAAAGGAAUGCUAAUACCGCAUACGUCCUACGGGAGAAAGCAGGGGAUCUUCGGACCUUGCGCUAAUAGAUGAGCCUAAGUCGGAUUAGUUAGUUGGUGGGGUAAAGGCCUACCAAGGCGACGAUCUGUAGCGGGUCUGAGAGGAUGAUCCGCCACACUGGUGACUGAGACACGGCCCAGACUCCUACGGGAGGCAGCAGUGGGGCAAUAUUGGACAAUGGGCGCAAGCCUGAUCCAGCCAUGCCGCGUGUGUGAAGAACGCCUUAUGGUUGUAAAGCACUUUAAGCGAGGAAGAGGCUACUUUUGUUAAUACCUAGAGAUAGUGGACGUUACUCGCAGAAUAAGCACCGGCUAACUCUGUGCCAGCAGCCGUGAAAACAGAGGUGCAGGGUAAUCGAUC
RNAcentral lists this ribosomal RNA (515 nucleotides) under uncultured Acinetobacter sp. RNAcentral describes it as "bacterial SSU rRNA". It matches the Rfam family "Bacterial small subunit ribosomal RNA", at positions 39 to 536 of the family's 1533-position model. The record is from RNAcentral. Lineage: Bacteria; Pseudomonadati; Pseudomonadota; Gammaproteobacteria; Moraxellales; Moraxellaceae.